GGGUAGCUGGUCUGAGAGGAUGGUCAGCCACACUGGGACUGAGACACUGCCCAGACUCCUACGGGAGGCUGCAGUCGAGGAUCAUUCACAAUGCGCGAAAGCGUGAUGAUGCGACGCUGCGUGGAGGAUGAAGGCCUUCGGGUUGUAAACUCCUGUCAUGAGGGAAAAGACGUUCGGCCGUUAAUAUCGGUUGGACCCGAUGGUACCUCAAGAGGAAGCCACGGCUAACUCUGUGCCAGCAGCCGCGGUAAUACAGAGGUGGCAAGCGUUGUUCGGAUUUACUGGGCGUAAAGCGUGCGUAGGUGGUUUCGUAUGUCGGGUGUGAAAGCCCACGGCUCAACCGUGGAACUGCAUCCGAAACUGCUAAGCUGGAGUGCAGGAGGGGAGAGCGGAAUUCUUGGUGUAGCGGUGAAAUGCGUUGAUAUCAAGAAGAACACCGGUGGCGAAGGCGGCUCUCUGGAAUGUUACUGACACUGAAGCACGAAAGCUGGGGGAGCGAACAGGAUUAGAUACCCUGGUAGUCCCAGCCGUAAACGGUGCGCACUUGGUGUAGGGGGUAUUGACCCCCCCUGUGCCGGAGCUAACGCGUUAAGUGCGCCGCCUGGGGAGUACGGCCGCAAGGCUAAAACUCAAAAAUUGACGGGGGCCCGCACAAGCGGAGGAGCAUGUGGCUUAAUUCGAUGCAACGCGAAGAACCUUACCUGGGCUUGACAUGUAACUGCAAAUCCUGUGAAAGCAGGACUCUUUCGAAGGUGUUACACAGGUGCUGCAUGGCUGUCGUCAGUUCGUGCCGUGAGGUGUUGGGUUAAGUCCCGCAACGAACGCAACCCUUGUGUUUAGUUGCCACCGGCGGUGAUGAGCCGUCGAGCACUCUAGACAGACUGCCCGUACAAGCGGGAGGAAGGUGGGGAUGACGUCAAGUCAGUAUGGCCCUUACGCCCAGGCUGCACACGUGCUACAAUGGCCGGUACAAUGGGAAGCAAAACCGCGAGGUGGAGCAAAUCCCCAAAGCUGGCCCAAGUUCGGAUUGGAGUCUGCAACUCGACUCCAUGAAGUCGGAUUCGCUAGUAACGGCGCAUCAGCUACGGCGCCGUGAAUACGUUCCCGGGCCUUGUACACACCGCCCGUCACAUCAUGAAAGCCGUCUGCACCCGAAGUCGCUGAGCUAACCCGCAAGGGAGGCAGGUGCCGAAGGUGUGGGUGGUGAUUGGGAUGAAGUCGUAACAAGGUA
RNAcentral lists this ribosomal RNA (1231 nucleotides) under metagenome. RNAcentral's name for it is "bacterial SSU rRNA". It matches the Rfam family "Bacterial small subunit ribosomal RNA", at positions 281 to 1498 of the family's 1533-position model. The record is from RNAcentral.